AUGGCUCCUUACAUGCUCCCAGCUUUUGGAUUCAGAGAGUCACUUAAACUGCAACACAAGUACUAUGGUCCCUUCCUGAUUACACAGCAAGUGGGUAAAGUGGCCUACAAACUCCAUUUCGAUCACAUCAAAAUCCAUCUUGUGUUCCAUGCCAGUCAACUCAAAAGGCACCUAGCCUAAGAGCUAUCCCCAUCCCAAACAUGCAGACUGUGCAUGAGGAUGGUACACUCAAAUGUUGCACCAACGCUAGUUCUCCAGGUACAACAAAUACCUCGUCGCAAUAUUCCUAGGAUUUAGUGGCUCGUGCAGUGGGAGAACCUAGCGCCGAAGGAUGCUACAUGGGAGGACACAAACUUCAUCAAAUGCACGUUCCCGACGUUCUUCAAGUUGACCACUGCGGCGUGA
This 405-nucleotide ribosomal RNA is filed under the name Triticum aestivum (bread wheat). RNAcentral describes it as "partial small subunit ribosomal RNA". Lineage: Eukaryota; Viridiplantae; Streptophyta; Magnoliopsida; Poales; Poaceae. The record is from RNAcentral.